GCAUGUUGGCAGCACUUUGUGCAGCUUGUCAUGUCACUGACAUCACUGAAGUGAAGAGAGAGCUCCCCAGCUCUGCAGUGAGGGCUCACUUCCCAGUCUCCCUUACGUGUCAUGUGGUUAUUUCCACCCGUGCCAGUUGCUACCCAGUGAGAAUGGUGCAGGAUUUGUAUACCCGCUUUGCACAAGUGCAAAUGACUGCACAAGGUGCAGGGAAAUGGAGACCCUGGCAUGCUGCCUCGGGCUCUUGGCAGCACGUCCUGACUGCUGACCCUGGAAUAGAACCAGAGGAGAAUAUUUUCCUCCUGAGCAUCUGGGAUCCAAACACUGCUGUCCUUGUGCAGGCAAAAAUACCUCUCAUUUUCAGUGCAGGCUGUAGCCCCUGAGUCUCAGCCUCAAGCUGCCUGUCUCCUUUCCUUAUCCACUCUCUUAACACCCCUGGUAACAACAGUGCCAAUCAAGCACAGCAUUGAAUGCAGACAGCCUUGACUAAGCGACUCCGUGAAGAGCUGUCAGCCAUGGAGCUGUCACAACCUCAUCAGCUCUGCAUGGAAGGAGCCACUGCUUGAUAUUCUAGCCUUACGCUGCGUGUCGAGACUGUGCGCCGUGCUUGACAGGGAGAUGGCUUCCUGUGCCGAGAAUCUGCCUCCCAGGUGUCAGCACUCGUUGCAGGGAUUGUGGCUGGGCUCAGCCGGUCUAGCUGCAGUCAGGCAGGAGGGUGUACGGAGGAUGGAGUUUACUGGUGCUUUGGGGGUUUGAGAGUAUGGGAAGUCCAACAGGACGGAUGGGAAAUCCUCUGGCCCCCAAACUGUGUGGCCAAUAAACAGAUGCUGUAUGCUGCUCCAGAGGUGGCUGCCCUGAAGUGGAAGGGGCUGAUCCCAGAGAGCCUCUUCUCCACUCUUCCAGUUCGUCUUAGUGCCCUGGAAUGGUGCCGUCGCACUCCCACACAAUGAUUAUGCGUGUUACAUUAGACGCAGGGAGCAGUGUGACCAGGGAGAAAGGGGCUCAGAGGAGACCAGACCACAGCUCUGGGAUUAACAAAACAAACGUAAACUUCAUCUUGCAGCUGAGACGCCUUUAGAAACUGUCUCCAGGAGGAGAGGGGGGAAGUUUUGUGCUCUGGUUAUCUGCAAAUAGUCUGUCAUUUCUGAGGAGACGAGACGCAUGCACGCCAGGGCUGAGGAGGCAGUACCUACGAGAGAGGCCCCAGCUGAGGGCACGGCCACAAAAAUCUGAACACACGUCACCAGGGUUCUGAGCCUCAUUUGACAGCUGGAGAAUGGGGGCACGGAGUGGUAAGCCUC
Molecule: long non-coding RNA, 1301 nt
Organism: Mauremys mutica (yellowpond turtle)
Lineage: Eukaryota; Metazoa; Chordata; Testudines; Geoemydidae
Exons: 4
Source: RefSeq, a predicted model, not a curated record